RNAcentral lists this ribosomal RNA (460 nucleotides) under uncultured bacterium. RNAcentral's name for it is "partial 16S ribosomal RNA". It matches the Rfam family "Bacterial small subunit ribosomal RNA", at positions 338 to 795 of the family's 1533-position model. The record is from RNAcentral.
CCUACGUGCGGCAGCAGUGAGGAAUAUUGGUCAAUGGACGCAAGUCUGAACCAGCCAUGCCGCGUGCAGGAAGACGGCUCUAUGAGUUGUCAACUGCUUUUGUACGAGGGUAAACGCAGAUACGCGUAUCUGUCUGAAAGUAUCGUAAGACUAAGGAUCGGCUAACUCCUUGCCAGCAGCCGCGGUAAUACGGAGGAUUCAAUCGUUAUCCGGAUUUAUUGGGGUUAAAGGGUGCGUAGGCGGUCGGAUAAGUUAGAGGUGAAAUCCUGAGGCGCAACUUCGGAAUUGCCUCUGAUACUGUUCGGCUAGAGAGUAGGUGCGGUAGGCGGAAUGUAUGGUGUAUCGGUGAAAGGGUUAGAGAUCAUACAGAACAUCGAUUGCGAAGGCAGCUUACCAAGCUACUUCUGACGUUGAGGCACGAAAGCGUGGGGAGCAAACAGGAUUAGAGACCCGAGUAGUC